CGGGUGAGUAACGCGUGGGUAACCUACCCUGUACACACAGAUAACAUACCGAAAGGCAUGCUAAUACGGGAUAAUAUAUUUGAGAGGCAUCUCUUGAAUAUCAAAGGUGAGCCAGUACAGGAUGGACCCGCGUCUGAUUAGCUAGUUGGUAAGGUAACGGCUUACCAAGGCGACGAUCAGUAGCCGACCUGAGAGGGUGAUCGGCCACAUUGGAACUGAGACACGGUCCAA
Molecule: ribosomal RNA, 231 nt
Filed under: uncultured bacterium
Lineage: Bacteria
Description: partial 16S ribosomal RNA
Rfam family: Bacterial small subunit ribosomal RNA
Source: RNAcentral